Glycine soja is the source of this 761-nucleotide long non-coding RNA. RefSeq lists it as uncharacterized. The transcript has 4 exons. Lineage: Eukaryota; Viridiplantae; Streptophyta; Magnoliopsida; Fabales; Fabaceae. The record is from RefSeq and is a predicted model, not a curated record.
UGAUGUUUCUAUUUCGUCAAUGUCUCGGAGCUACAUAUAUUAUAUUAUAUCGAUCAUAUAAAUAGAUAUAGAUAUAGAUUUUACAUGUCUUGGGGUCCUCUCCACAGCCACAGAAUUCAGCCGAGCAUUUGGGAGGGGAAGAACGGCCACCUAACAUGUUUCAGCUAGAUCUAGAGGAUGUCCUCCAAUCACAAACCUACCUGAAGGGUUGAGGUGGAAGAUGGUAUUGUCAUCAAGGUACUCAGCUGGGAUUUUACAUGUGUUCGGGUCUUCUCCACAGCCACAGAAUUCAGCUGACCAUUUGGGAGGGGAAGAACGACCACCUAACAUGUUUCAGAACAGAUGGUAUUGGUCUCUCAGCACCCCAAUUAGGAAUUAAUAUUCAACUUAUGGUGUUCAAUCCAGUAGGCGAGCGUGGUGAAGAAGAGGAAAUUGUUCUGGUAAACCCAAGAGUUAGCCAAUACACAAAGAAUCUGACACUAUUUAAUGAAGGUUGCCUAUCUUUCCCUGUAAUUAAUGCUGGCGUAAAGAUGACUAGGUGGAUGACUUUAAACAACAUCGUGCUAGAUGACGUUAGGAUACAAUGCUCUGAUAGAAUGUGACAUUGGGGAUGAGUUUUUAUUAUAAUUGCAUGAUGUUAUUUUAUUUUAUUUUAUCUCACUGAUUUAACAAAAUUUCUUUUGUAAACUUUGAUGGCCUUGUUUUGAGUUGAAUAUGAUUUUAAUAAAUUUUAUUUGGUAAUAGUAAAGUGAAUGUGAACC